Molecule: ribosomal RNA, 467 nt
Filed under: uncultured bacterium
Lineage: Bacteria
Description: partial 16S ribosomal RNA
Rfam family: Bacterial small subunit ribosomal RNA
Source: RNAcentral
GACGAACGCUGGCGGCGUGCUUAACACAUGCAAGUCGAACGGAAAGGCCCUGCUUUUGUGGGGUGCUCGAGUGGCGAACGGGUGAGUAACACGUGAGUAACCUGCCCUUGACUUUGGGAUAACUUCAGGAAACUGGGGCUAAUACCGGAUAGGAGCUCCUGCUGCAUGGUGGGGGUUGGAAAGUUUCGGCGGUUGGGGAUGGACUCGCGGCUUAUCAGCUUGUUGGUGGGGUAGUGGCUUACCAAGGCUUUGACGGGUAGCCGGCCUGAGAGGGUGACCGGCCACAUUGGGACUGAGAUACGGCCCAGACUCCUACGGGGGGCAGCAGUGGGGAAUAUUGCACAAUGGGCGGAAGCCUGAUGCAGCAACGCCGCGUGCGGGAUGACGGCCUUCGGGUUGGAAACCGCUUUCGCCUGUGACGAAGCGUGAGUGACGGUAAUGGGUAAAGAAGCACCGGCUAACUACGU